Molecule: ribosomal RNA, 301 nt
Filed under: uncultured bacterium
Lineage: Bacteria
Description: partial 16S ribosomal RNA
Rfam family: Bacterial small subunit ribosomal RNA
Source: RNAcentral
CAGCAGCCGCGGUAAUACAGAGGGUGCGAGCGUUAAUCGGAUUUACUGGGCGUAAAGCGUGCGUAGGCGGCUUUUUAAGUCGGAUGUGAAAUCCCUGAGCUUAACUUAGGAAUUGCAUUCGAUACUGGGAAGCUAGAGUAUGGGAGAGGAUGGUAGAAUUCCAGGUGUAGCGGUGAAAUGCGUAGAGAUCUGGAGGAAUACCGAUGGCGAAAGCAGCCAUCUGGCCUAAUACUGACGCUGAGGUACGAAAGCAUGGGGAGCAAACAGGAUUAGAUACCCCCGUAGUCCCUGUCUCUUAUAC